AACGAACGCUGGCGGCGUGCCUAACACAUGCAAGUCGAACGGAAUGAGGGGGCUUGCUCCUUCAUUUAGUGGCGCACGGGUGAGUAACGCGUAGAUAAUCUGCCUGAUGAUCUGGGAUAACAUCUCGAAAGGGGUGCUAAUACCGGAUAAGCCCACGGGGUCUUUGGACUCUGCGGGAAAAGGGGGGGACCUUCGGGCCUUCUGUCAUCAGAUGAGUCUGCGUACCAUUAGCUAGUUGGUAGGGUAAUGGCCUACCAAGGCGACGAUGGUUAGCUGGUCUGAGAGGAUGAUCAGCCACACUGGAACUGAGACACGGUCCAGACUCCUACGGGAGGCAGCAGUGGGGAAUUUUGCGCAAUGGGCGAAAGCCUGACGCAGCAACGCCGCGUGAGUGAUGAAGGCUUUCGGGUCGUAAAGCUCUGUCAAGGGGAAAGAAGUGUAUUGUGGUUAAUACCCGCGAUACUUGACGGUACCCCUAAAGGAAGCACCGGCUAACUCCGUGCCAGCAGCCGCGGUAAUACGGAGGGUGCAAGCGUUGUUCGGAUUUAUUGGGCGUAAAGCGCGUGUAGGCGGUUUAUUAAGUCUGAUGUGAAAGCCCUGGGCUCAACCCAGGAAGUGCAUUGGAUACUGGUAGACUUGAAUACGGGAGAGGGCAGUGGAAUUCCUGGUGUAGGAGUGGAAUCCGUAGAUAUCAGGAGGAACACCGGUGGCGAAGGCGGCUGCCUGGACCGAUAUUGACGCUGAGACGCGAAAGCGUGGGUAGCAAACAGGAUUAGAUACCCUGGUAGUCCACGCCGUAAACGAUGAGUACUAGGUGUUGCGGGUAUUGACCCCUGCAGUGCCGCAGCUAACGCAUUAAGUACUCCGCCUGGGAAGUACGGUCGCAAGACUA
This 892-nucleotide ribosomal RNA is filed under the name uncultured bacterium. RNAcentral's name for it is "bacterial SSU rRNA". It matches the Rfam family "Bacterial small subunit ribosomal RNA", at positions 28 to 896 of the family's 1533-position model. The record is from RNAcentral.